AACGCACGAGACCUGCGGACCUGCGGAGGGAUCAUUAAUGAGAAGCUGCCCCUCGUGGGUAGACCUCCCACCCCCUGUGAACUUACCUUUGUUGCUUUGGCAGGCCCGUCCUCUGGACCGCCGGCUUCGGCUGGCCCGUGCCUGCCAGAGGAUUCCAAACCCUGUCUGUCAGUGUUGUCUGAGUCUAUAUGAAAUCGUUAAAACUUUUAGCAACGGAUCUCUAGAUCGGAAGAGCACACG
Molecule: unclassified non-coding RNA, 240 nt
Filed under: soil metagenome
Description: partial contains 5.8S ribosomal RNA, internal transcribed spacer 2, and large subunit ribosomal RNA
Source: RNAcentral